RNAcentral lists this ribosomal RNA (474 nucleotides) under uncultured bacterium. RNAcentral's name for it is "partial 16S ribosomal RNA". It matches the Rfam family "Bacterial small subunit ribosomal RNA", at positions 28 to 507 of the family's 1533-position model. The record is from RNAcentral.
GACGAACGCUGGCGGCGUGCUUAAUACAUGCAAGUCGAGCGGUAAGGCUCCUUCGGGAGUACACGAGCGGCGAACGGGUGAGUAACACGUGAGUAAUCUGCCCUUCACUUCGGGAUAACCACCGGAAACGGUGGCUAAUACCGAAUACGACCAGUCUUCGCAUGAGGUGCUGGUGGAAAGUCUUUUCGGUGAAGGAUGUGCUCGCGGCCUAUCAGCUUGUUGGUGGGGUAAUGGCCUACCAAGGCUUCGACGGGUAGCCGGCCUGAGAGGGUGACCGGCCACACUGGGACUGAGACACGGCCCAGACUCCUACGGGAGGCAGCAGUGGGGAAUAUUGGACAAUGGGCGAAAGCCUGAUCCAGCAACGCCGCGUGAGGGAUGACGGCCUUCGGGUUGUAAACCUCUUUCAGUACCGACGAAGCGCCCUGUCGGGUGGUGACGGUAGGUACAGAAGAAGGACCGGCCAACUACGUG